This 301-nucleotide ribosomal RNA is filed under the name uncultured bacterium. RNAcentral's name for it is "partial 16S ribosomal RNA". It matches the Rfam family "Bacterial small subunit ribosomal RNA", at positions 509 to 807 of the family's 1533-position model. The record is from RNAcentral.
CAGUAGCCGCGGGAAUACGAAGGGGGCUAGCGUUGUUCGGAAUUACUGGGCGUAAAGCGCACGUAGGCGGAUAUUUAAGUCAGGGGUGAAAUCCCAGAGCUCAACUCUGGAACUGCCUUUGAUACUGGGUAUCUUGAGUAUGGAAGAGGUGAGUGGAAUUCCGAGUGUAGAGGUGAAAUUCGUAGAUAUUCGGAGGAACACCAGUGGCGAAGGCGGCUCACUGGUCCAUUACUGACGCUGAGGUGCGAAAGCGUGGGGAGCAAACAGGAUUAGAGACCCCCGUAGUCCCUGUCUCUUAUAC